CAGCCGCCACGGUAAUACGAAGGGGGCUAGCGUUGCUCGGAAUGACUGGGCGUAAAGGGCGCGUAGGCGGAUUGUUUAGUUAGGCGUGAAAUUCCUGGGCUUAACCUGGGGACUGCGCUUAAUACAGGCAGUCUAGAGUGAGGAAGAGGGUUGUGGAAUUCCCAGUGUAGAGGUGAAAUUCGUAGAUACUGGGAAGAACACCGGUGGCGAAGGCGGCAACCUGGUCCUUGACUGACGCUGAGGCGCGAAAGCGUGGGGAGCAAACAGGAUUAGAUACCCGCGUAGUCCCUGUCUCUUAUAC
RNAcentral lists this ribosomal RNA (301 nucleotides) under uncultured bacterium. RNAcentral describes it as "partial 16S ribosomal RNA". It matches the Rfam family "Bacterial small subunit ribosomal RNA", at positions 509 to 807 of the family's 1533-position model. The record is from RNAcentral.